CCUAACAGUUUCAUAGCCUCCCAAAGAUAAGUACAAACGUCUCCGUACCAAUCCGCGAGACUCUACUAAACCUACUUGUGACUCAUAACACCUAUGAACCUAGUGCUCUGAUACCAACAUGUCACGACCCCAAUUCCCCUCCGUCGGAUAUCGUGAUGGCACCUAGUCUCUAAGACUAGGUAAGCCUAACAAUUUGCGGAAUAACUGAAUAUACAACUGAACUCAAAUUCUCGACAUAUGAAAUAUAAAUAAAAAUUGUGAUUUAAAUAACUACAACUCCCAAAACCCGAUAGAAAUAAGUCACAAGCUUUUAAGAGAAAAAUACUAAGUGUCUCUAUACAUUAGAGUCCAAAGAGAAUAAGGAGAAGAACAAAAUAAGGAUAGAUGGGGACUCCGGAGUCUGCGGUUGCUGGCAUAUGUACCUUGAAGUCUCCACGUACAGUCUAGCUCACUGGUAUAUGGUCUGGUAAGCAGUACCUGGAUCUGCACAACGGUACCUAGUAAGUGUCAAGCCUAACCUCGGUAGAGUAGUGACGAGGUCAGGUCAGGGCCCUAGGCAGAAAAUAUAAUAAUACAAUAAAAUGAUUGAGAAAUGAAUAAUGAGAAAUUACAGAAAGGUAGCAGCACAACAAAUAGAGGUAAACAAUAGGGGCGCUCCCAAGGUAUAACCUCGUAGCCCCAAAUGCAUAUACACAACAGGGGAAUCUCCCGAGGUACCACCUCGUAGUCCCAAAAGUAAAUAUGCAACAGAGGAUCUCCCGAUGUACCGCAUCGUAGUCCCAAAAGUAAAUAUGCAACAUGGGAUCUCCCGAGGUACCGCCUCAGAGUACCAAAAGUAAAUAUACGAAAGGGGGAGCUCCUGAGAUAUUGCCUUGUAGUCCCAAAAGUAAAUACACGAUAGGGGAGCUCCCGAGGCACCCCCUCGUAGUCCCAAAAGUAAAUACACAACUCAUAACCUAUGAAACAAUGAAUUUACAGCAAGGAAUCAUACAGCUAAAGACUGAAUACAAGAUCACGGAAGCAAGUAAUUCAACUAAGCAUGUUGCACAAAUUACAAGUAAGAGUUAAGGCACAUAGACAUGCUACAUUACGCUAAACAUGGUGACUACACAGACUAGAACGACUCAGUUAAGGAUUUAAAAGAAAACUACCCAACAAGAACCAUAUUUUUCAACAUUUAACCCGAGUACGCACUCGUCACCUCACGUACGCGGGCUUUCCGUAUUUCAGAUAUCGUAACAAUACCAAAACCUAAUGGGAGUUUCCCCUACACAAGGUUAGACAAGUCACUUACCUCAAAUAUCGCUCAAUCAGUCGAUAAGAAUGCCUUUCCCUCGACUUUGCGACUCCGACCAAAUCUAGCCAAAACCAAGUACAUACUAUAAAUACAACUACAAGAAAAUAAUUGAAGUAAUGAAACUACGACUUUAGCAAGAAAUUAGGACAUCACCCCCAAAAGGUCGACCCGGACCCACGUCUCAGAAUCGGGUAAAAGUCAUAAAAUACGAACACCCAUUCGACCACGAGUCCAACCAUACCAAUUUUACCAAAAUCCGACAUUAACUCGACCUUCAAAUCCUCAAAUCUUAUUUUCAAAUUCCUAGGCUCAAAUCCUCGAAUUGCAUCUCAAAAACACAUAAUCUAGUCAAAAUACUCAAUGAUAAUUUAAUAUUAUUGACUAACAAUGAACACAAGUGACUUACCUCAAGUUUUCCCAUGAAUUCUCGCUCAAAUAUCGCCUCAACCCAUGUUUGAAAGGUCCAAAAAUGACAAAAAUGUCGAACCCCUUCUGUUUUGUAGCUUGACCAGUGUUUCCGCUUCAACAGAGUACUUAACCGCAUCUGCUGUCUCGCAGAUGCGAGGUCCUCCCCGUUUCUGUGGCUUUUUCCGCUUCUGCGGACAAGAGGUCCGCUUCUGCGGCCUCGCUUUUGCGGUCGACACUGCCGUUUCUGCAGAACCAGCUGCCCCCUUCACUCCGCAUCUGCGGCCUCUGGCUCGCACUUGCGAGCUCGCAGGUGGUGAAGCGUGCGAGCUCGCAGAUGCAGAAAGCUUCACGCACCUGCGACGCAGCCCCAGGCCAAGCCCCAAAUACGCUUCUGUGCCUUGCCAUUCGCACCUGCGGUAGCGCACCUGCGAAAAUAGUUCUGCAUGUGCGAUUGCACUAGAAGGCAAAAAAUCUCAGCUUUGUUCUAAGUCCGAUUUCGAUCCGUUAACCAUCCGAAACUCACCCGAGGCCCCCGGGACCUCAACCAAAUACACCGACAAGUCCUAAAAUCAUACUAACUUAGUCGAGCCUUUAAAUCACAUCAAACAACGCUAAAAAUAUGAAUUACACAUCGAUUCUAGCCUAAUAUAUUUUAAAACUUCAAACUUCUACAUCCGACGCCGAAACCUAUCAAACCAAGUCCGAUUGACCUUAAAAUUUGCACACAAAUCAUUAUUGGCAUUAUGGACCUACUCCAACUUCCGAAAUCAUAAUCUGACCCCGAUAUCAAAAAGUCAACUCCCGGUCAAACUUUCCAAAAAUCAUCCAAUUUUCCAACUUUCGCCAAUUAACGCCGAAAUAACCUACGAACCUCUAAAUCAACAUCCGGACAUGCUUCUAAGACCAAAAUACCUUACAGAGCUAUCGAAACUGUCAAAACUCUAUUCCGAGGUCGUCUUCAUAUAGUUCAAACUACGGUUAAUUCCUAGAACUUAAACUCUCAAUUUAGGGACUAUGUGUUCCAUUUCACUCCGAAACCAAAAAUAAAUCCCCCGACUAAUCACGUAACCACAAAAUGAAAUAGAGAGAGCAAUAAAUAGGGGUUCGGGGCUAAUACUCUCAAAACGACCGACCGGGUCAUUACAAGCACCCAAUUGGCAUCUCAUAGUUCACAUUAAUAAUCAUAUCUGAAUUUUACAUAAUAACCAAUUGUAUAACAUUAACCACUUCUAACUUCAUACUCUUCCUAUUCAAAAUGUACCCAUUCUACGAAUGUGCAACAUGAGCUUUGUCACUAUUGGAAAAAAAAAUACAUUUUCAAACUUUGUCACAUCCAACAAGUUCAACGACCCACUAACCAGAAGAAAAAUAUGAAAUUCACACACCUAUUGCACGUAUCUACUUAUGCUUCAUAGGUACCCAAGAUUCAACAAAAUAAAAAGAUAAAUCACAAGGAUUCAUGUCUCAGGUAAAGUGAUACAAAAAAUAUCUAUAGUUCAUAUAGCAUAGUUGAACAGGGGUGAAACCAUGAUAUUUUAUUUAUGAAGAAGGAGAAAGUAAUGACUAAACAGAAGAAAAUGGGUACCUAGAAAUGGAUAUAAAAUAAAAGUAAAUAGAUACAUCAAGGAACAAGAUAAUGAAGCUCAACAACUCAAUUGAAAUAACAGCAAGCACAACAGUAAUUGUCUACCAGCUUUCAAACACUUGUUUCCCAUAAAAUCAGAAGACUUUUGAUACUCUAAAAGACCCCAAAAAGUGAAUUGAACACCGACUGAUCUCUUUCCACUUAAGACAUGUUAAGUAUCUUUUCGAUCUUCCUCCUAAAUAUCGAUCAGAAUCCCUUUAUCCCUCUUUUCUUUUUCCCAUAAAAUUUCUCUAAGAGUUUUUGCUUCCAGCUCAAUUAAAUUCUUCUAGAACCUCCCCUAUUUUAUUUUUUUACCUCUCAUUGUUAUCUUUUUUUUUUUACUUUAAACCUGCCUGACCUCAUAAAAUUAGGCCUAGAUCUAUUACCUCCUUUAUCAAACCUUAUACCUAGUCAGUCCACCUUUCUAAAUUCAAUGCAGAACUAACCAAAUCCUAGAAGACCCAUUUAUCAAUUAAAUGAAACAGAAAACCAACUAAGGAACUGAUUUAGUAUUCUAAAGAAUGGACGAUGACCUAAACAAUAAGAUCAAAAGAAACAGGACUAAUCAUGAAAUUCGAACCAUUCAACAUGCUCAAUAAUAAUUAAUCAUGUGACUAACAUCAAUUGUAUUCAAUCAAUCGAUCAAGAAAUCUAAAUACUCUUAGCAUGCCGUGGCUACAACUAAUCAUGCUUAAAAACUAAUAUGAAACAAAAUAGAUAAUAAGUCAUGCCUUUUAAGCUAGGUAGAGAUACAAGAAAGAAACAAAUAAUAAUACAAAUAAAAGCCAAAAGAAAUAAAGGGAGAAAUGUACCCAUCGGAGUUCAAACGGAUCGGCCAAAAGGAUUUCCGGCAGGCCGAAGGGAUUGUUACACUAACACUGGCCGAAAUUUCCUUAUGCAAGCCAGUGUUACAUGUAACAAUACCUCUAGCAAGCCGGAGGAAUUUGGAAGGGGUCUAGCCGGAUUUUGGGGGUCAUGAAAUAGUUUGGGACUAACACAAAUCGAUAGUUCUCAUCGAGACUAGUCGAUUGGUGUAGGUUUCAUCACCAAUUGGGCCGUGAUUGAAAAAGAAUCGAGAAAGAGGCAGAUUGGAUAGGUUCUCAAUUUUUAGAUCUGCUAUUGAAGGAGUUCUGUGUGUUUUUAGAGGAAACUAAUAUCAGAAUAUGGAUGGGGAGAGGAUAGGGAGUGUAUGGUGAUAAAUUAGGGAUGUCUGGAGGUUUCCUGUGGCGGCGGAGGGCGACGAAAAUGAUUUUCGGCCACCCCGGAUUCCAAAUUGGGGCGAAGAGAAUUGGGGUGGCUUCAAAGGUGAUU
This 4640-nucleotide long non-coding RNA is filed under the name Nicotiana tabacum (common tobacco). RNAcentral's name for it is "long non-coding RNA (NTAB_LNC003999)". Lineage: Eukaryota; Viridiplantae; Streptophyta; Magnoliopsida; Solanales; Solanaceae. The record is from RNAcentral.